AGUGAACGCUGGCGGUAGGCCUAACACAUGCAAGUCGAACGGUAGCACAGAGGAGCUUGCUCCUUGGGUGACGAGUGGCGGACGGGUGAGGAAUGCAUCGGAAUCUACUCUUUCGUGGGGGAUAACGUAGGGAAACUUACGCUAAUACCGCAUACGACCUACGGGUGAAAGCAGGGGACCUUUUAGGCCUUGCGCGAUUGAAUGAGCCGAUGUCCGAUUAGCUGGUUGGCGGGGUAAUGGCCCACCAAGGCGACGAUCGGUAGCUGGUCUGAGAGGAUGAUCAGCCACACUGGAACUGAGACACGGUCCAGACUCCUACGGGAGGCAGCAGUGGGGAAUAUUGGACAAUGGGCGCAAGCCUGAUCCAGCCAUACCGCGUGGGUGAAGAAGGCCUUCGGGUUGUAAAGCCCUUUUGUUGGGAAAGAAAAGCAGCCGGCUAAUACCCGGUUGUUCUGACGGUACCCAAAGAAUAAGCACCGGCUAACUUCGUGCCAGCCGCCGCGGUAA
This 507-nucleotide ribosomal RNA is filed under the name uncultured bacterium. Its description in RNAcentral is "partial 16S ribosomal RNA". It matches the Rfam family "Bacterial small subunit ribosomal RNA", at positions 29 to 523 of the family's 1533-position model. The record is from RNAcentral.